Long non-coding RNA from Thalassophryne amazonica, 209 nucleotides. RefSeq lists it as uncharacterized. NCBI's taxonomy places the organism in Eukaryota, Metazoa, Chordata, Actinopteri, Batrachoidiformes, Batrachoididae. The record is from RefSeq and is a predicted model, not a curated record. The transcript has 2 exons.
ACGGGAGGCAGAAUGACCGCGACUCGGCUUGGAAGCGACGGAUGGCAAGAGAUAAAGGGAGCCGGAGAAUCUGACCAUCUUCAGUGACAUUGAGGCUGAAGCUGAACUGGUUUCAGUGUGAUCGACACAUGAAACUUUUGUAUAGUUUGUGUUGCUUCUUUUGUGUGUGUGUAUUUGCUCUUUUUUGUUGCAGUAAACAAUUUGACUCA